Molecule: ribosomal RNA, 856 nt
Filed under: Cytobacillus oceanisediminis
Lineage: Bacteria; Bacillati; Bacillota; Bacilli; Caryophanales; Bacillaceae
Description: bacterial SSU rRNA
Rfam family: Bacterial small subunit ribosomal RNA
Source: RNAcentral
AGUCGAGCGGACAGAUGGGAGCUUGCUCCCUGAAGUCAGCGGCGGACGGGUGAGUAACACGUGGGCAACCUGCCUGUAAGACUGGGAUAACUCCGGGAAACCGGGGCUAAUACCGGAUAAUUCUUUCCCUCACAUGAGGGAAAGCUGAAAGAUGGUUUCGGCUAUCACUUACAGAUGGGCCCGCGGCGCAUUAGCUAGUUGGUGAGGUAACGGCUCACCAAGGCGACGAUGCGUAGCCGACCUGAGAGGGUGAUCGGCCACACUGGGACUGAGACACGGCCCAGACUCCUACGGGAGGCAGCAGUAGGGAAUCUUCCGCAAUGGACGAAAGUCUGACGGAGCAACGCCGCGUGAGUGAUGAAGGUUUUCGGAUCGUAAAACUCUGUUGUUAGGGAAGAACAAGUACCGGAGUAACUGCCGGUACCUUGACGGUACCUAACCAGAAAGCCACGGCUAACUACGUGCCAGCAGCCGCGGUAAUACGUAGGUGGCAAGCGUUGUCCGGAAUUAUUGGGCGUAAAGCGCGCGCAGGCGGUUCCUUAAGUCUGAUGUGAAAGCCCCCGGCUCAACCGGGGAGGGUCAUUGGAAACUGGGGAACUUGAGUGCAGAAGAGAAGAGUGGAAUUCCACGUGUAGCGGUGAAAUGCGUAGAGAUGUGGAGGAACACCAGUGGCGAAGGCGACUCUCUGGUCUGUAACUGACGCUGAGGCGCGAAAGCGUGGGGAGCAAACAGGAUUAGAUACCCUGGUAGUCCACGCCGUAUACGAUGAGUGCUAAGUGUUAGAGGGUUUCCGCCCUUUAGUGCUGCAGCAAACGCAUUAAGCACUCCGCCUGGGGAGUACGGGCGCAAGGCUGAA